This 515-nucleotide ribosomal RNA is filed under the name uncultured bacterium. Its description in RNAcentral is "partial 16S ribosomal RNA". It matches the Rfam family "Bacterial small subunit ribosomal RNA", at positions 28 to 523 of the family's 1533-position model. The record is from RNAcentral.
GAUGAACGCUGGCGGCGUGCCUAAUACAUGCAAGUCGAGCGAAUGGAUUAAGAGCUUGCUCUUAUGAAGUUAGCGGCGGACGGGUGAGUAACACGUGGGUAACCUGCCCAUAAGACUGGGAUAACUCCGGGAAACCGGGGCUAAUACCGGAUAACAUUUUGAACCGCAUGGUUCGAAAUUGAAAGGCGGCUUCGGCUGUCACUUAUGGAUGGACCCGCGUCGCAUUAGGUAGUUGGUGAGGUAACGGCUCACCAAGGCAACGAUGCGUAGCCGACCUGAGAGGGUGAUCGGCCACACUGGGACUGAGACACGGCCCAGACUCCUACGGGAGGCAGCAGUAGGGAAUCUUCCGCAAUGGACGAAAGUCUGACGGAGCAACGCCGCGUGAGUGAUGAAGGCUUUCGGGUCGUAAAACUCUGUUGUUAGGGAAGAACAAGUGCUAGUUGAAUAAGCUGGCACCUUGACGGUACCUAACCAGAAAGCCACGGCUAACUACGUGCCAGCCGCCGCCGUAA